RNAcentral lists this ribosomal RNA (288 nucleotides) under uncultured bacterium. RNAcentral describes it as "partial 16S ribosomal RNA". It matches the Rfam family "Bacterial small subunit ribosomal RNA", at positions 773 to 1060 of the family's 1533-position model. The record is from RNAcentral.
GUGGAUUAGAUACCCUAGUAGUCCACGCUGUAAACGAUCGAUACUAGGUGUGCGGGGACUGACCCCCUGCGUGCCGCAGUUAACACAAUAAGUAUCGCACCUGGGGAGUACGAUCGCAAGGUUGAAACUCAAAGGAAUUGACGGGGGCCCGCACAAGCGGUGGAUUAUGUGGUUUAAUUCGAAGCAACGCGAAGAACCUUACCAGGGCUUGACAUGGGGAUGACCGGGUUAGAGAUAGCCCUUUCCUUCGGGACAUCCCACACAGGUGGUGCAUGGUCGUCGCCAACU